GACGAACGCUGGCGGCGUGCUUAACACAUGCAAGUCGAACGGAAAGGCCCUGCUUUUGUGGGGUGCUCGAGUGGCGAACGGGUGAGUAACACGUGAGUAACCUGCCCUUGACUUUGGGAUAACUUCAGGAAACUGGGGCUAAUACCGGAUAGGAGCUCCUGCUGCAUGGUGGGGGUUGGAAAGUUUCGGCGGUUGGGGAUGGACUCGCGGCUUAUCAGCUUGUUGGUGGGGUAGUGGCUUACCAAGGCUUUGACGGGUAGCCGGCCUGAGAGGGUGACCGGCGACAUUGGGACUGAGAGACGGCGCAGACUCCUACGGGAGGCAGCAGUGGGGAAUAUUGCACAAUGGGCGGAAGCCUGAUGCAGCAACGCCGCGGGCGGGAUGACGGCCUUCGGGUUGUAAACCGCUUUCGCCUGUGACGAAGCGUGAGUGACGGUAAUGGGUAAAGAAGCACCGGCUAACUACGUG
RNAcentral lists this ribosomal RNA (468 nucleotides) under uncultured bacterium. RNAcentral's name for it is "partial 16S ribosomal RNA". It matches the Rfam family "Bacterial small subunit ribosomal RNA", at positions 28 to 507 of the family's 1533-position model. The record is from RNAcentral.